GACGAACGCUGGCGGCGUGCUUAACACAUGCAAGUCGAGCGGUAAGGCCCUUUCGGGGGUACACGAGCGGCGAACGGGUGAGUAACACGUGGGUGACCUGCCCUCAGCUCUGGGAUAAGCCUGGGAAACCGGGUCUAAUACUGGAUAUGACUCCAUGACGCAUGUUGUGGGGUGGAAAGCCUUGUGCGGCUGAGGAUGGGCCCGCGGCCUAUCAGCUUGUUGGUGGGGGAUGGCCUACCAAGGCGACGACGGGUAGCCGGCCUGAGAGGGCGACCGGCCACACUGGGACUGAGACACGGCCCAGACUCCUACGGGAGGCAGCAGUGGGGAAUCUUGCGCAAUGGGCGAAAGCCUGACGCAGCAACGCCGCGUGCGGGAUGAAGGCCCUC
RNAcentral lists this ribosomal RNA (389 nucleotides) under uncultured bacterium. RNAcentral describes it as "bacterial SSU rRNA". It matches the Rfam family "Bacterial small subunit ribosomal RNA", at positions 28 to 419 of the family's 1533-position model. The record is from RNAcentral.